GGUAGCGAAAUUCCUUGUCGGGUAAGUUCCGACCUGCACGAAUGGUCUAAUGAGUUGAACACUGUCUCCUCCACGAGCCCGGUGAAAUUGUAGUAUCGGUGAAGAUGCCGGUUACCCGCCACGGGACGGAAAGACCCCGUGAACCUUCACUACAACUUUGCAUUGAUUUUGAAUUACGGAUGUGUAGAAUAGUUGGGACGCUUUGAAGCCUUGCCGCUAGGUAGGGUGGAGCGGUCGUUGAAAAUACCAACCUUCUUUGAUUUAGAGUCUAAUCCCUUGCUGGAAACAGUGCAUGGUGGGUAGUUUGACUGGGGUGGUCGCCUCCUAAAGAGUAACGGAGGCUUGCAAAGGUACCCUCAGUACGGUUGGUAAUCGUACGUAGAGCGCAUUAGUAUAAGGGUGCUUGACUGUGAGGCACACAAGCCGAGCAGGGACGAAAGUCGGCUAAAGUGAUCCGGCGGUUCUGUGUGGAAGGCCGUCGCUCAAAGGAU
This 491-nucleotide ribosomal RNA is filed under the name uncultured bacterium. Its description in RNAcentral is "bacterial LSU rRNA". It matches the Rfam family "Bacterial large subunit ribosomal RNA", at positions 1955 to 2457 of the family's 2925-position model. The record is from RNAcentral.